This 413-nucleotide ribosomal RNA is filed under the name uncultured bacterium. RNAcentral describes it as "bacterial SSU rRNA". It matches the Rfam family "Bacterial small subunit ribosomal RNA", at positions 70 to 473 of the family's 1533-position model. The record is from RNAcentral.
GAAGGAAGCUUGCUUCCAAUUUAGCGGCGGACGGGUAGAGUAAUAGCCUAGAGAAUCUAGCCUAUUAGUAGGGGGAUAACGUUCCGAAAGAGAACGCUAAUACCGCAUACGUCCUACGGGAGAAAGUGGGGGAUCUUCGGACCUCACGCUAAUAGAUGAGCCUAGGUCGGAUUAGCUAGUUGGUGGGGUAACGAGCUCACCAAGGCGACGAUCCGUAGCUGGUCUGAGAGGAUGAUCAGCCACACUGGAACUGAGACACAGUCCAGACUCCUACGGGAGGCAGCAGUGGGGAAUAUUGGACAGUGGGCGAAAGCCUGAUCCAGCCAUGCCAGCGUGUGUGAAGAAGGUCUUCGGAUUGUAAAGCACUUUAAGUUGGGAUGAAGGGUUGUAAGCUAAUAUCUUGCAGCUUUGAC